Long non-coding RNA from Lutra lutra (Eurasian river otter), 714 nucleotides. RefSeq lists it as uncharacterized. The transcript is spliced from 3 exons. The record is from RefSeq and is a predicted model, not a curated record. NCBI's taxonomy places the organism in Eukaryota, Metazoa, Chordata, Mammalia, Carnivora, Mustelidae.
UUCUACUAUGCGAUUAUGAUCUUGCCUUCUUUUGAAGCUGCAAAAGGACAGGUCACUGGUAACCAGAUGAAUUCUAGUUGUGCAGGAAGAUGCCUCGUUCUCCUCACUUCAUCCAAGGGAGCCCUCCUGAAAGACCUGACAAAGUGGCUGAUAAAUCUUCCGUCUAAAUGGCAGAUUCCAAACAAUAGAGCCAGCACAAGUUCGUCAGAGCCGGAAAUAUAAUAUGCCCUCUCGGUCUCGGUGCUCUCUUGUAAAAGAUGGUACACACAUAUGCUGACAGUGGAGUGACUUUUAAGAAACUUGGAGCCCUGCACGAGGAAGAAAAUGAGGCUCUGGGCUUUCUCCCAGUUGCUCAGGUAUGCCACUGAGUCACACAGCGGUCAGCAUGCCUGGCGACAGGCCAUGUGUGGCCCCUGAAUUGUGAAGCUCUCUUAAUUUACUCCUAAAUCUUGAUUUUUCUCGAAGCAGUUCUUUCCCUUGAAGGGAUCUUUUAAUUACCAUCCUCUGGACUAACCAACCAAGCUGCAAAACCCUGAAAGCAGCUGAGAGAGUCUUCCUUCCACGACCAUCAAGUGCAGCCUCAGCACGUUUCCCUGCCUAUGGAAGCAGUUUCUGUCAGCCGCUUCCUGCCAAAGCCCUGCGCUGAACGGAGGUUGUUGUUUCUGAUGCCACUUCAUGAUCCCAAAGAACAGAAAACUUUAAAUAAAGGGAAUA